GACCGAACGCUGGCGGCAUGCCUAACACAUGCAAGUCGAACGAGACCUUCGGGUCUAGUGGCGCACGGGUGCGUAACGCGUGGGAACCUGCCCUUAGGUUCGGAAUAACUCCCCGAAAGGGGUGCUAAUACCGGAUAAUGUCUUCGGACCAAAGAUUUAUCGCCUUUGGAUGGGCCCGCGUUGGAUUAGCUAGUUGGUAGGGUAAAAGCCUACCAAGGCGACGAUCCAUAGCUGGUCUGAGAGGAUGAUCAGCCACACUGGGACUGAGACACGGCCCAGACUCCUACGGGAGGCAGCAGUGGGGAAUAUUGGACAAUGGGCGAAAGCCUGAUCCAGCAAUGCCGCGUGAGUGAUGAAGGCCUUAGGGUUGUAAAGCUCUUUUACCCGGGAUGAUAAUGACAGUACCGGGAGAAUAAGCUCCGGCUAACUCCGUG
RNAcentral lists this ribosomal RNA (434 nucleotides) under uncultured bacterium. Its description in RNAcentral is "partial 16S ribosomal RNA". It matches the Rfam family "Bacterial small subunit ribosomal RNA", at positions 27 to 507 of the family's 1533-position model. The record is from RNAcentral.